UACGUAGGGUGCGAGCGUUAAUCGGAAUUACUGGGCGUAAAGCGCACGUAGGCGGUUUUUUAAGUCAGAUGUGAAAGCCCCGGGCUCAACCUGGGAAUUGCAUUUGAAACUGGCCAACUAGAGUACGUGAGAGGGGGGUAGAAUUCCAAGUGUAGCGGUGAAAUGCGUAGAGAUUUGGAGGAAUACCAGUGGCGAAGGCGGCCCCCUGGCACGAUACUGACGCUCAGGUGCGAAAGCGUGGGGAGCAAACAGG
This 253-nucleotide ribosomal RNA is filed under the name uncultured bacterium. RNAcentral's name for it is "partial 16S ribosomal RNA". It matches the Rfam family "Bacterial small subunit ribosomal RNA", at positions 524 to 776 of the family's 1533-position model. The record is from RNAcentral.